Molecule: ribosomal RNA, 301 nt
Filed under: uncultured bacterium
Lineage: Bacteria
Description: partial 16S ribosomal RNA
Rfam family: Bacterial small subunit ribosomal RNA
Source: RNAcentral
CAGUAGCCGCGGGAAUACGAAGGGGGCUAGCGUUGCUCGGAAUGACUGGGCGUAAAGGGCGCGUAGGCGGAUUGUUUAGUUAGGCGUGAAAUUCCUGGGCUUAACCUGGGGACUGCGCUUAAUACAGGCAGUCUAGAGUGAGGAAGAGGGUUGUGGAAUUCCCAGUGUAGAGGUGAAAUUCGUAGAUAUUGGGAAGAACACCGGUGGCGAAGGCGGCAACCUGGUCCUUGACUGACGCUGAGGCGCGAAAGCGUGUGGAGCAAACAGGAUUAGAUACCCCUGUAGUCCCUGUCUCUUAUAC